This 460-nucleotide ribosomal RNA is filed under the name uncultured bacterium. RNAcentral describes it as "partial 16S ribosomal RNA". It matches the Rfam family "Bacterial small subunit ribosomal RNA", at positions 338 to 795 of the family's 1533-position model. The record is from RNAcentral.
CCUACGGGUGGCAGCAGUGAGGAAUAUUGGUCAAUGGACGAGAGUCUGAACCAGCCAAGUAGCGUGAAGGAUGACUGCCCUAUGGUUUGUAAACUUCUUUUAUAUGGGAAUAAAAUGUUCCACGUGUGGGAUUUUGUAUGUACCCUAUGAAUAAGGAUCGGCUAACUCCGUGCCAGCAGCCGCGGUAAUACGGAGGAUUCGAGCGUUAUCCGGAUUUAUUGGGUUUAAAGGGAGCGUAGGUGGAUUGGUAAGUCAGUUGUGAAAGUUUGCGGCUCAACCGUAAAAUUGCAGUUGAAACUGGCAGUCUUGAGUACAGUAGAGGUGGGCGGAAUUCGUGGUGUAGCGGUGAAAUGCUUAGAUAUCACGAAGAACUCCGAUUGCGAAGGCAGUUCACUGGACUGCAACUGACACUGAGGCUCGAAAGUGUGGGUAUCAAACAGGAUUAGAUACCCGGGUAGUC